AUUGUUGCAUGUUAUUACUGCUCUCUGUGCUCUGGCAUUCUCUGUGCUGGGUUCAGCUGUGUCCCCUCCUGGGGCAGUAGGUCCCCACUGUGCCCCAAGGUGGAACAGGACAUGUGUCCUGACAGCACUUAACCCUGAAGGAACCAGCCAAGGCUCUGCCUGGCUGGAGUCACAGCACACGGGUGGGUGACUGAUGGAAAUCCUGCCCUUGGGGGGUUCUUUAGCUCCUUUGCAACAGUCAUGGAAUAUUGUACAUCUUGGCAUUGCUUGAUGUUUUAAGCCUGUGCUGUUCUAUUAAAAAAAGCAAACAAAA
Molecule: long non-coding RNA, 313 nt
Organism: Pipra filicauda (Wire-tailed manakin)
Lineage: Eukaryota; Metazoa; Chordata; Aves; Passeriformes; Pipridae
Exons: 2
Source: RefSeq, a predicted model, not a curated record